This 232-nucleotide ribosomal RNA is filed under the name uncultured bacterium. RNAcentral's name for it is "partial 16S ribosomal RNA". It matches the Rfam family "Bacterial small subunit ribosomal RNA", at positions 99 to 334 of the family's 1533-position model. The record is from RNAcentral.
CGGACGGGUGAGUAAUGUCUGGGAAACUGCCUGAUGGAGGGGGAUAACUACUGGAAACGGUAGCUAAUACCGCAUAACGUCUUCGGACCAAAGUGGGGGACCUUCGGGCCUCACGCCAUCGGAUGUGCCCAGAUGGGAUUAGCUAGUAGGUGGGGUAAUGGCUCACCUAGGCGACGAUCCCUAGCUGGUCUGAGAGGAUGACCAGCCACACUGGAACUGGGACACGGUCCAG